RNAcentral lists this long non-coding RNA (2799 nucleotides) under Sus scrofa (pig). RNAcentral describes it as "lncRNA (ENSSSCG00025014715.1)". Lineage: Eukaryota; Metazoa; Chordata; Mammalia; Artiodactyla; Suidae. The record is from RNAcentral.
UCCGGCCCCGCCCCAUCCUGCUCUGGCUCCCACCUCCGUUCAGGCGGAGCCACUCGGCGCCUGAAGCGAAGGGCCUCCGGUGCCUACGUGCAGUCGCCUCCUCCGCUUGAGCCUACGCCUUCUGCUCCAGUUGCUUUCCCAACCGAGCAGAAAAGCCGGGGGCGUGUUGCCGGGGCACUGGGAAGCCGGGAGCUUGGGCACUGCGCCUGAAGUCGCUGCUGCGCCUCCCCGCCCACGGGCGGUCGGGUCACGGUCCCUGAAGCCCCAGCCUGCCAGAUUGGAGCCCAUACUGACGUCAAGGAGGACACUGGGUUCCUUAGGAGCCGCCCCAGGCUUAAUGAUUGUCCAGAAGUUGGCUAUAAAGGGAGCCUGGGAGGCUGAUUGGAGGAGGGAGCAGAAAAAGCCUAACUCAGCAGGUCUGGGCACCGAGAGCCGAAAGCAGGAGCUGUGGUCAGAAGCUCGUGUCCCAGCCGGUAGGGCCUGCUCUCUCCCACCAUGGCGGCCCGAGGCUACGGCUAUUAUCGUGCUGUGAUCUUCUCAGCCAUGUUUGGAGGCUACAGCCUGUACUACUUCAACCGCAAGACCUUCUCCUUUGUCAUGCCGUCGCUGGUGGAAGAGAUCCGUCUGGACAAGGAUGACUUGGCCCCUAACCCCCCAGGUGUCCUGCUCCCUGCUCCCCUUCCCUGCAGGGCUCAUCACCAGUAGCCAGUCAGCAGCCUAUGCCAUCAGCAAGUUUGUGAGUGGGGUGCUGUCUGACCAGAUGAGUGCUCGCUGGCUCUUCUCCUCUGGGCUGCUUCUUGUUGGCCUGGUCAAUGUCAUCUUUUCCUGGAGCUCCACAGUACCUGUCUUCGCUGCUCUCUGGUUCCUCAAUGGCCUGGCCCAGGGGCUGGGCUGGCCCCCGUGUGGCAAGAUCUUGCGGAAGUGGUUUGAGCCAUCUCAGUUUGGCACUUGGUGGGCCAUCCUAUCAACUAGCAUGAACCUGGCUGGAGGGCUGGGCCCCAUCCUGGCAACCAUCCUCGCCCAGAGCUAUAGCUGGCGUAGCACGCUGGCCCUGUCUGGGGCCUUGUGUGUGGUUGUCUCCUUCCUCUGUCUCCUGCUCAUCCACAAUGAACCUGCUGAUGUUGGACUCCGCAACCUGGACCCUAUCCCCUCCAAGGGCAAGAAGGGCUCCUCAAAGGAGGAGAGUACCUUACAGGAGCUGCUGCUGACCCCCUACCUGUGGGUGCUCUCCAUUGGCUACCUUGUGGUAUUUGGCGUAAAGACGUGCUGUACUGACUGGGGCCAGUUCUUCCUUAUCCAGGAGAAAGGACAGUCAGCCCUCGUGGGUGAGAUGAGGGUUGGGACAAGGGCGGGCCUGGGAGCAGGAGCCAGUGCAGGGGAUGGGAAAUUCAGACCUGGUUCCUUUAUCCUUUCUUCUUUCCCUGUGGCCGGUCACCCUUGGGGACCCUGUACCUCUCUGUGUUUAAGCCGAUCUGGGGCAACCCCACAGGAUAACACCCUUCCUCCCUUCCUUUCCCUCUUCCCACCACGACUCCCCACUGCAGGUAGCUCCUACAUGAGUGCCCUGGAGGUUGGGGGCCUUGUAGGCAGCAUCGCAGCUGGCUACUUGUCAGACCGGGCCAUGGCAAAGGCAGGGCUGUCCAUCCACGGGAACCCCCGCCAUGGCCUGCUGCUGCUCAUGAUGGCUGGCAUGACAGCAUCCAUGUACCUCUUCCGGGUAACUGUGACCAGUGACUCCCCUAAGCUCUGGAUCCUGGUGUUGGGAGCUGUGUUUGGUUUCUCCUCUUAUGGUCCCAUUGCCUUGUUUGGAGUCAUAGCCAAUGAGAGUGCCCCUCCCAACCUGUGUGGCACCUCCCAUGCCAUUGUGGGACUCAUGGCCAAUGUGGGUGGCUUUCUGGCUGGGUUGCCCUUCAGCACCAUUGCCAAGCAUUACAGCUGGAGCACAGCCUUCUGGGUGGCUGAAGUGAUCUGUGCGGCCAGUACAGGUGCCUUCUUCCUCCUACGAAACAUCCGCACCAAGAUGGGCCGAGUGCCAAAGAAGGCUGAGUGAAGACCGUGCAAACUCUGGAGCGUCCUUUCUCACCUGUGUCAUGGGGGUUGGGAAAGGGAGGGAGGGGGCUGCUCUGGCAGCACCACCUUUGACUUUCUUUUUCUGCACCUUUUCCCUCACCCAGGUGGUGCUGGAAGUUAUCAGUGGCUAAUGAGGUCCCAGCUCCCCAUCCUAUCUCUAUUUAAAAAACAAGUUUUGGGAGUUCUCACUGUAGCACAGUGGGUUAGGAAUCCAAUUGCAGUGGCUUGGGUUGCUGCAGAGGUGUAGGUUCAACCCCUGGCCCAGCAUAGCAGGUUAAAGGACCCAGCAUUGCUACAGCUGCAGUUCGGAUUAGAUUCUUGACCCAGGAACUUCCAUAUGCCUCAGGUGCAGCCAUAAAAAUUAAAAAAAAAAAAAAGAGAGAGAGAGAGAGAGAGAGAAAACCUUUGUUUCUGGACUCCGUUAGUUCUUGCCUUCAAACUGGAAACCCCAGCACUCAGGGAGUCUCCUAUACCCUUCUCCCUCUCCUGGGCUCCGUCCUGUCCCCAUCACACACCAUCCCCACCUGAGGUGACGCUCCUGUAGCAGGACAGCAGUAGCCCGGGACUGCCCUGAGACCUCUCAGCAGGGGGCAGUUGCUAUUGCCAAUACCUUGGACUCCAGUGGAAGAGGGGAGGCCGUCACUCUUACCGAUACCUUGGGUACAGUAGGGGGUAAGGGUGGGAGGGUACAGAGACUUGUUAUAGAAAAUUAAAACUAGAUUUGAUACU